This 497-nucleotide ribosomal RNA is filed under the name uncultured bacterium. Its description in RNAcentral is "partial 16S ribosomal RNA". It matches the Rfam family "Bacterial small subunit ribosomal RNA", at positions 28 to 507 of the family's 1533-position model. The record is from RNAcentral.
GACGAACGCUGGCGGCGUGCCUAAUACAUGCAAGUUGAGCGCUGAAGGUUGGUACUUGUACCAACUGGAUGAGCAGCGAACGGGGGAGUAAAGCGUGGGGAAUCUGCCUUUGAGCGGGGGACAACAUUUGGAAACGAAUGCUAAUACCGCAUAAAAACUUUAAACACAAGUUUUAAGUUUGAAAGAUGAAAUUGCAUCACUCAAAGAUGAUCCCGCGUUGUAUUAGCUAGUUGGUGAGGUAAAGGCUCACCAAGGCGAUGAUACAUAGCCGACCUGAGAGGGUGAUCGGCCACAUUGGGACUGAGACACGGCCCAAACUCCUACGGGAGGCAGCAGUAGGGAAUCUUCGGCAAUGGACGAAAGUCUGACCGAGCAACGCCGCGUGAGUGAAGAAGGUUUUCGGAUCGUAAAACUCUGUUGGUAGAGAAGAACGUUGGUGAGAGUGGAAAGCUCAUCAAGUGACGGUAACUACCCAGAAAGGGACGGCUAACUACGUG